AAAAGCAUGAUUGGUAGACAGACCAACUCAGUGGGGUUAUAGAGUGAUCAGCCAAAUAAGUGGGAAUUUUAACAGUUCAGUGAUAUGUGUAUAUCUGCUCAUUUUAUCUCUUUCCAAAUGAUUAGUUCUUCAACCUCUGUUCCAGCUUCUCUUUAAAGGCAGUGAUUCUCCAAGGGAGAAUGCAUGCUGACCUUCUCUGAUGGGCCACAUCUUUCUCUCUGCAGUUUGCUCAGGUUGGACUGUGAUGUCAGCUUGCAGCCUUCAGCCUAUCAAAUUAGCACUGCUACGUGCUGUUUAGGUACUGUGCUGCAUCCCACAGGUCUGGCUGUUCUUCCUAGCAGUAAGAAGCCACUGCACCAGAAAGGCUACCUACGUGUUGGAGUAUGGGUUCCUUGAAAGGAAAAGGAAUUCAUGCGUAUAAAUACCAAGAAGCUCUAAAGUGCGAUUGGUGCUCUUCUGCAUUCAAGGUAGGAUUUUGCAGUUAACUUCUUUCACAAAUAGAGUGCAACAAAAUGGAAGUGCACACAUAAACACAUGAGCUUUCCUGUUCUGCUGAAUUCUCUGGUGACUGGUGUGGCCAGUUAUCUCAUGGAAAUGUGGAGACCUGAUAUUACAACUUCUAUAAUAUAUCUACUUCCAUUUCUGUGCUUAUAUUAAAGUUUAGUGCUUUGUGUAUGUAUGACUGAAAUGAAAGUUCAAACCUGUGACUCACUGUCAUGGAAUAGGUUACUGGAUUAUUAAUACUUUAACAUUUUCCUUUGGCAAAUAUGAAAGCAAUUGUAACUAAGUAUAGGACUUAGAAGAAACAAACUAUUUCUAGAUACAAGUAAGGUAACCGUUGUCUGAUCCAGUAACAUUAUUUUGAGUUCCAUAUUAAAAGAGGGAAUAGUAUUUCCCAUAUUCUAAUAAGACCUCUUUCUAUGAGAGUCACAUUUGAUAAAAUUCUUUAAGAAAAAGAUCAAGUUCACCUUUAAUAAUAAUGAUUUGCAUAUUCAUAUUAUGACAGUUGCAUUAUUCUGAGAAGUGUGCUGUGCUAUUUCUAUGGCUUCUGAAAACAAAAAAGGUGCAUUUCAGAAAGUAAAAAAUAAAAUAAAAUCAGAACAAAUGUUCUCA
RNAcentral lists this long non-coding RNA (1113 nucleotides) under Anas platyrhynchos platyrhynchos (common mallard). RNAcentral's name for it is "lncRNA (ENSAPLG00000018350.1)". Lineage: Eukaryota; Metazoa; Chordata; Aves; Anseriformes; Anatidae. The record is from RNAcentral.